RNAcentral lists this ribosomal RNA (792 nucleotides) under uncultured Pelagibacteraceae bacterium. Its description in RNAcentral is "bacterial SSU rRNA". It matches the Rfam family "Bacterial small subunit ribosomal RNA", at positions 44 to 884 of the family's 1533-position model. Lineage: Bacteria; Pseudomonadati; Pseudomonadota; Alphaproteobacteria; Candidatus Pelagibacterales; Candidatus Pelagibacteraceae. The record is from RNAcentral.
ACGCCUUAUACAUGCAAGUCGAACGAAGUAGCAAUACUUAGUGGCAGACGGGUGAGUAACAUGUGGGUAUCUUCCCUUUGGUGAGGAAUAACGCGAGGAAACUUGCGCUAAUACCUCAUAAGUCUUUACGGAGAAAGCUUUAUGCGCCAAUGGAUGAGCCCGCACUUGAUUAGUUUGUUGGUGGGGUAAUGGCCUACCAAGGCUUUGAUCAAUAGCUGAUCUGAGAGGAUGAUCAGCCACAUUGGGACUGAGACACGGCCCAAACUCCUACGGGAGGCAGCAGUAGGGAAUAUUGCACAAUGGAGGAAACUCUGAUGCAGCGAUGCCGCGUGAGUGAAGAAGGCCUUUGGGUUGUAAAGCUCUUUCGUCGGGGAAGAAAAUGACUGUACCCGAAUAAGAAGGUCCGGCUAACUUCGUGCCAGCAGCCGCGGUAAUACGAAGGGACCUAGCGUAGUUCGGAAUUACUGGGCUUAAAGAGUUCGUAGGUGGUUGAAAAAGUUGGUUGUGAAAUCCCGGAGCUUAACUCCGGAACUGCAAUCAAAACUUUUCAGCUAGAGUAUGAUAGAGGAAAGCAGAAUUUCUAGUGUAGAGGUGAAAUUCGUAGAUAUUAGAAAGAAUACCAAUUGCGAAGGCAGCUUUCUGGAUCAUUACUGACGCUGAGGAACGAAAGCAUGGGUAGCGAAGAGGAUUAGAUACCCUCGUAGUCCAUGCCGUAAACGAUGUGUGUUAGACGUUGGAAAUUUAUUUUCAGUGUCGCAGCGAAAGCAUUAAACACACCGCCUGGGGAGUACG